UUUUAAAGAAUUUUGCAUAUCAAUAAGCGGAGGAAAAGAAACCAACAGGGAUUGCCCUAGUAACGGCGAGUGAAGCGGCAACAGCUCAAAUUUGAAAGCUGGCCUUCGGGUCCGCAUUGUAAUUUGUAGAGGAUGCUUUGGGUGAAACGCCAGUCUAAGUUCCUUGGAACAGGACGUCAUAGAGGGUGAGAAUCCCGUAUGUGACUGGAAAUGUUAACCUAUGUAAAGCUCCUUCGACGAGUCGAGUUGUUUGGGAAUGCAGCUCUAAAUGGGAGGUAAAUUUCUUCUAAAGCUAAAUAUUGGCGAGAGACCGAUAGCGCACAAGUAGAGUGAUCGAAAGAUGAAAAGCACUUUGGAAAGAGAGUUAAAAAGCACGUGAAAUUGUUGAAAGGGAAGCGCUUGCAAUCAGACUUGUUUAAACUGUUCGGCCGGUCUUCUGACCGGUUUACUCAGUUUGGACAGGCCAGCAUCAGUUUCGGCGGCCGGAUAAAGGCUCUGGGAAUGUGGCCUUCACUUCGGUGAAGGUGUUAUAGCCCAGGGUGUAAUACGGCCAGCCGGGACUGAGGUCCGCGCUCGGCUAGGAUGCUGCGUAGCCCGAGG
This 600-nucleotide ribosomal RNA is filed under the name Aureobasidium sp. 35L-2-1. RNAcentral's name for it is "eukaryotic LSU rRNA". It matches the Rfam family "Eukaryotic large subunit ribosomal RNA", at positions 27 to 638 of the family's 3401-position model. Lineage: Eukaryota; Fungi; Ascomycota; Dothideomycetes; Dothideales; Saccotheciaceae. The record is from RNAcentral.